GAUUCAGAAUAACUAAGCUGAUCGCAUGGGCUUGUCCCGGCGACGUGUCUUUCAAGUGUCUGCCUUAUCAACUUUCGAUGGUAGUGUACGUGACUACCAUGGUGUUGACGGGUAACGGAGGAUAAGGGUUCGACUCCGGAGAAGGGGCCUGAGAAAUGGCCACUACGUCUAAGGAUGGCAGCAGGCGCGCAAAUUACCCACUCUCAGUUCGAGGAGGUAGUGACGAAAAAUAACAAGGCCGUUCUCUUUGAGGCCGGCCAUUGGAAUGGGUACAACUUAAACCCUUUAACGAGUAUCAAUGAGAGGGCAAGUCUGGUGCCAGCAGCCGCGGUAAUUCCAGCUCUCAAAAUGCAUAGAACCAUUGCUGCGGUUAAAAAGCUCGUAGUUGGAUCUGUGCUGGCGACGUGGUCCGCCUUCACCGGCGGUACUGCGCUCGUCGGCUUUGGGCCGGUUUUCGGGCGGUCACCUUCACUGGUGGCCGUUCGUGGCUGGCUGGUUUACUUUGAGCAAAUCAGAGUGCUCAGCACAGGCGUCUC
This 536-nucleotide ribosomal RNA is filed under the name Nematoda environmental sample. Its description in RNAcentral is "SSU rRNA". It matches the Rfam family "Eukaryotic small subunit ribosomal RNA", at positions 248 to 790 of the family's 1831-position model. The record is from RNAcentral. Lineage: Eukaryota; Metazoa; Nematoda.